This 312-nucleotide ribosomal RNA is filed under the name uncultured bacterium. RNAcentral describes it as "bacterial SSU rRNA". It matches the Rfam family "Bacterial small subunit ribosomal RNA", at positions 28 to 353 of the family's 1533-position model. The record is from RNAcentral.
GACGAACGCUGGCGGCGUGCUUAACACAUGCAAGUCGAACGAGGCAGCAAUGCCUAGUGGCGGACGGGUGAGUAACACGUAGGUAACCUGCCCUUUAGUGGGGGAUACCCAGUCGAAAGAUUGGCUAAUACCGCAUACCUUCCCUUGUUGGAAUACUUUGGAAGAAAGAUUUAUCGCUAAAGGAGGGGCCUGCGUACGAUUAGCUAGUUGGUGAGGUAAUGGCUCACCAAGGCUUCGANCGUUAACUGGUCUGAGAGGACGAUCAGUCACACUGGAACUGAGACACGGUCCAGACUCCUACGGGAGGCAGCA